RNAcentral lists this ribosomal RNA (293 nucleotides) under uncultured bacterium. RNAcentral describes it as "partial 16S ribosomal RNA". It matches the Rfam family "Bacterial small subunit ribosomal RNA", at positions 505 to 796 of the family's 1533-position model. The record is from RNAcentral.
GUGCCAGCCGCCGCGGUAAUACGGGGGGAGCAAGCGUUGUUCGGAUUUACUGGGCGUAAAGGGCGCGUAGGCGGCCACCGCAAGUCGACUGUGAAAUCUCCGGGCUUAACCCGGAAAGGUCAGCCGAUACUGCGGGGCUAGAGUGCAGAAGGGGCAACUGGAAUUCUCGGUGUAGCGGUGAAAUGCGUAGAUAUCGAGAGGAACACCUGCGGCGAAGGCGGGUUGCUGGGCUGACACUGACGCUGAGGCGCGAAAGCUAGGGGAGCGAACGGGAUUAGAUACCCUCGUAGUCC